CUGAAGACUGUGCACUUCAGUCUGCGAUGCCCGUCAUCCAUCUCUUUCGUCAGAGAAGCUUCAGAAAGGCUGUGCGAGUUGUGAAGGAUUUACUACGCUGGAAUGAAAUCCUGGUUUGCAACUCAUGCCGUUUACAAGUUCAAUACAAACAGCCCUGUUCCUCGAGGAGGAGAACGCUCCAGCGCCCAAUCAUGAAUACGUCAGUGAUUUGUCGGGAAGCUUUUCUAUAUGCGCAUAAAAAUAACAUGAAAACUA
Molecule: long non-coding RNA, 255 nt
Organism: Rhipicephalus microplus (southern cattle tick)
Lineage: Eukaryota; Metazoa; Arthropoda; Arachnida; Ixodida; Ixodidae
Source: RefSeq, a predicted model, not a curated record